GCCAGGUGCGGUGGCCCACGCCUGUCAUCCCAGCAGCUCGGGAGGCUGGGGCAGGAGGAUCGAGAGUUCAAAGCCAGCCUCAGCAACUUAGUGAGACUCUGUCUCUA
RNAcentral lists this small RNA (107 nucleotides) under Marmota monax (woodchuck). The record is from RNAcentral. Lineage: Eukaryota; Metazoa; Chordata; Mammalia; Rodentia; Sciuridae.